This 253-nucleotide ribosomal RNA is filed under the name uncultured bacterium. Its description in RNAcentral is "partial 16S ribosomal RNA". It matches the Rfam family "Bacterial small subunit ribosomal RNA", at positions 524 to 776 of the family's 1533-position model. The record is from RNAcentral.
UACGUAGGGACCGAGCGUUGUCCGGAAUCAUUGGGCGUAAAGAGCUCGUAGGCGGUCUGUCGCGUCGGCUGUGAAAACCUGGGGCUCAACCCCGGGCCUGCAGCCGAUACGGGCAAACUAGAAUUCGGUAGGGGAGACUGGAAUUCCUGGUGUAGCGGUGAAAUGCGCAGAUAUCAGGAGGAACACCCGUGGCGAAGGCGGCUCUCUGGGACGGUACUGACGCUGAGACGCGAAAGCGUGGGGAGCAAACGGG